This 218-nucleotide unclassified non-coding RNA is filed under the name Hevea brasiliensis (rubber tree). The record is from RNAcentral. Lineage: Eukaryota; Viridiplantae; Streptophyta; Magnoliopsida; Malpighiales; Euphorbiaceae.
AGUUGCUAUUGAGCCAAAAUACUUAGUGCUGGUUGAAAUGGCUUCUCCUCUAGAAAAUCCAAGCGAGUUCACAAGAUAGUUCACCAAGAAACGUGUUUGGUCACAUGCAGUUUUAUCUGCAAUGGUUGAAUAUUGAAACAAGAAUUUGGAGUUGUAGAUGAAGAAAAACUGACCUACGGCGGCGCCAUGGCAGUGCGGUCGGAGUAAGCGAGCCGCCA